Xenopus tropicalis (tropical clawed frog) is the source of this 83-nucleotide non-coding RNA. The record is from Rfam. Lineage: Eukaryota; Metazoa; Chordata; Amphibia; Anura; Pipidae.
ACCAGGAUGGCCGAGUGGUUAAGGCGUUGGACUUAAGAUCCAAUGGAUGUAUAUCCGCGUGGGUUCAAACCCCACUCCUGGUA